RNAcentral lists this ribosomal RNA (465 nucleotides) under Vreelandella stevensii. Its description in RNAcentral is "partial 16S ribosomal RNA". It matches the Rfam family "Bacterial small subunit ribosomal RNA", at positions 338 to 795 of the family's 1533-position model. Lineage: Bacteria; Pseudomonadati; Pseudomonadota; Gammaproteobacteria; Oceanospirillales; Halomonadaceae. The record is from RNAcentral.
CCUACGGGUGGCUGCAGUGGGGAAUAUUGGACAAUGGGGGCAACCCUGAUCCAGCCAUGCCGCGUGUGUGAAGAAGGCCCUCGGGUUGUAAAGCACUUUCAGUGAGUAAGAACGCCUGGUGGUUAAUACCCAUCAGGAAAGACAUCACUCACAGAAGAAGCACCGGCUAACUCCGUGCCAGCAGCCGCGGUAAUACGGAGGGUGCGAGCGUUAAUCGGAAUUACUGGGCGUAAAGCGCGCGUAGGUGGCUUGAUAAGCCGGUUGUGAAAGCCCCGGGCUCAACCUGGGAACGGCAUCCGGAACUGUCAAGCUAGAGUGCAGGAGAGGAAGGUAGAAUUCCCGGUGUAGCGGUGAAAUGCGUAGAGAUCGGGAGGAAUACCAGUGGCGAAGGCGGCCUUCUGGACUGACACUGACACUGAGGUGCGAAAGCGUGGGUAGCAAACAGGAUUAGAUACCCCAGUAGUC